UUUAUAUAUAUGCAAACAUUUCGUUGUCGCAUUUCAUCAGAUUAUUGCCUCUCUCACCAAUUCCACUUUCGUAUCCUAGUUUGUGUGUGUAUGUAAAUAUGAGAGUUGAAUAAGCGAUCAUACAUUUUAUAAGAAGAGUCGAAAAAAACCGUAGUAUCGGAUCAGCGUCGGUCAUGUGAAGCCAUUUUUGCAUAUUCCUUUCGUCGCUAACGGAAGAAGGUUGUGUUUCGUGGUUUUAGGUCAGGAAAAUAAGAAAAGUCGUAAAAAGUGUAUAUAGAACGGGGAACUAGUAGCAUACGGAAUAUCAUUAAUAUAUGUAAGUUUUGUAUAUGUGCAGAAUUUCGUUGUCGCAUUUCAUCAGAUUAUAGCCUCUCUCACCAAUUCCACUUUCGUGUUCUAGUUUGUGUGUGUAUGUAAAUAUGAGAGUUGAAAAAGCGAUCAUACAUUUUAUAAGAAGAGUCAAAAAAAACCGUAGUAUCGAAUCAGCGUCGGUCAUGUGAAGCCAUUUUUGCAUAUUCCUUUCGUCGCUAACGGAAGAAGGUUGUGUUUCGUAGUUUUAGGUCAGGAAAAUAAUAAAAGUCGUAAAAAGUGUAUAUAGAACUCGUAGCAUACGGAAUAUCAUUAAUAUAUGUAAGUUUUAUAUAUAUGCAAACAUUUCGUUGUCGCAUUUCAUCAGAUUAUUGCCUCUCUCAUCAAUUCCACUUUCGUAUCCUAGUUUGUGUGUGUAUGUAUAUAUGAGAGUUGAAAAAGCGAUCAUACAUUUUAUAAGAAGAGUAAAAAAAAAAACCGUAGUAUCGGAUCAGCGUCGGUCAUGUGAAGCCAUUUUUGCAUAUUCCUUUCGUCGCUAACGGAAGAAGGUUGUGUUUCGUGGUUUUAGGUCAGGAAAAUAAUAAAAGUCGUAAAAAGUGUAUAUAGAACUCGUAGCAUACGGAAUAUCAUUAAUAUAUGUAAGUUUUAUAUAUAUGCAAACAUUUCGUUGUCGCAUUUCAUCAGAUUAUUGCCUCUCUCACCAAUUCCACUUUCGUAUCCUAGUUUGUGUGUGUAUGUAAAUAUGAGAGUUGAAUAAGCGAUCAUACAUUUUAUAAGAAGAGUCGAAAAAAACCGUAGUAUCGGAUCAGCGUCGGUCAUGUGAAGCCAUUUUUGCAUAUUCCUUUCGUCGCUAACGGAAGAAGGUUGUGUUUCGUGGUUUUAGGUCAGGAAAAUAAGAAAAGUCGUAAAAAGUGUAUAUAGAACGGGGAACUAGUAGCAUACGGAAUAUCAUUAAUAUAUGUAAGUUUUGUAUAUAUGCAGAAUUUCGUUGUCUCAUUUCAUCAGAUUAUUGCCUCUCUCACCAAUUCCACUUUCGUAUUCUAGUUUGUGUGUGUAGUAUGUAAAUAUGAGAGUUGAAAAAGCGAUCAUACAUUUUAUAAGAAGAGUCAAAAAAAAACCGUAGUAUCGGAUCAGCGUCGGUCAUGUGAAGCCAUUUUUGCAUAUUCCUUUCGUCGCUAACGGAAGAAGGUUGUGUUUCGUGGUUUUAGGUCAGGAAAAUAAUAAAAGUCGUAAAAAGUGUAUAUAGAACUCGUAGCAUACGGAAUAUCAUUAAUAUAUAAAAUAAAUUUUGGUACCAUGUCUAUUGCUUGCGAUUCUUUUAAAAAUCCAAUAUAUAUGUAAAUUUACAUGUAAUGCAGUUCUUCAUAAUUCAACGGUAUUUUGGUUUAGGUAAGUCCAGCACCUUCUGAUUUAUUUAUUUACAUAUGCUUAACUUUAUAAGAUAAUCAGGCUGGGCGACCGCCAGACAGAUUGUUAUAUAAUUAUAAAUUCUUGACAUUAUUCUCGGGGGAUUGUAAGACACCAGGGUAACCAGUCGAAUAUCUGAAUACCAGAUAACUAUACCACAUACGUGGCAACAUGUGCGCUGCGUCUAUGUCUCUGAAAGCUGCAUAUCACAACAUUCUAGCUUUUAUAGUUCCUGAGAUUGAGGCUUUCACACUGACAGGUGGGCAUGGCCAGUUCGACCCGGCUAUUGAUCAAGAAUAUAUAUACUUUAUAUGGUCGGAAAUACUUUCUUGUACCUGUUACAUACUUUUUAACCGUAAAAACAAACAAACAAAAAAAAAACGGCUUUCUCGCAAAACUUUGUGAUUGUUUAUUGUUUUCCAGCCGUUUUGGUACGGUUUUUUAUAUUUCUUUCGUAUGAAAUACUUUGUCGCCUUCUUACUCCACUAAGGCACUGAACUAGAAGAACUUAAGCAAAAUGGCAAAAGUCCAUCAAUAUUUAAAAACUUCGCUUUCGACUUUCACGUUUAGAUUUUACUAUGCAAAAGGUUAUCGUUGCAAAUCGAUGCGGAACUGGUCUGUUAAGUGCAGAAGAUCGAUGACUCUGCCGGGGUCCAAGUUGAGAGUCACCGAAGGUUUAAGAUCUGUUCGGCAAAUAAAUAUUUAUAUAUUUGGCUAAACUUAAGCCAAAUGGAUCGAUCUCUCUCACAAAGACUUACUUUCGGAAAAACCAAGUUUGCGUGGUCUCAACACUUAUGUAUAUAUAUAUUGUUCGUUUCUACACAUAGGAAAUAUCAAAGCGCUUUAGAAGAAAGGGAUUGUUUAGCGGGAUAACAGUUAUUUUUUACACAAAAAAGGCGACUCCCUCGCAAAGGUCGAAAAUCAAUGGAGGUUAACUUUCGAAAGAACGUUCUAUGUGCAUUUUUUACGCAUAUCUUUCCGGCACCUUUGUAGUUUCACAUACCCACAAAAGGAACACCAAAAAUCAAGCAAAUCCAAAACGGAAGUACUUCUAAUUUCGAUAUGGCCUCCUUAACCCCUCUGUGUGGAUGUUUUUGUGUGUGUGAGAUUUAUUUUCCGCUCUAACUACACGCACCGCGCUUAAACCAAGCAUUUUUCGAUAGUUGAAAUCACGGGAAAACGGUAGGGCGAACGAUAAAAGCUAACUGCAACUGGACCUGGACGAAGGAUGGUAGAGAAAGGGCUCCAUUGUGUUAUGUCAUAUUCCUCUCCUGAUUGCGGAACAGAAGCACGGAAAUCUUGGUUAGGUUGGUAUUAUAUAUCGACCAAAAACAAGGCCGCAACUACUCUGUACGCAGAUCAAAAAGUAUAAAAAAGAAAAUUAAAGCGGCAAAGAAGAAGUACCAGACACAACAACAACAAUGGUAUGCUUUAUGGACUUUGAACUCUGGCUUUGUUGCUCAGCAAAAUAAUAAAAAAGAGCAUUUGCAAAAAAAAAAAAAGCAAAACGAUGAGAAAACGAAAAUGGAAACUGAAAAAUUGGAACAAGAAACAGUGACAUUAACAAUAUAUCAAACAGUGGGAAUUAUAUGAUACAAUUCCAAUUCAAAAUGUAUCAAAAGCAAU
This is a long non-coding RNA of Drosophila simulans, 3342 nucleotides long. RefSeq lists it as uncharacterized. NCBI's taxonomy places the organism in Eukaryota, Metazoa, Arthropoda, Insecta, Diptera, Drosophilidae. The record is from RefSeq and is a predicted model, not a curated record. The transcript is spliced from 3 exons.